Long non-coding RNA from Biomphalaria glabrata, 844 nucleotides. RefSeq lists it as uncharacterized. NCBI's taxonomy places the organism in Eukaryota, Metazoa, Mollusca, Gastropoda, Planorbidae. The record is from RefSeq and is a predicted model, not a curated record. The transcript is spliced from 4 exons.
GCAAGUGAUCGCCAAACUCAUCGUCCGAGGACGUGGAUCCUGGAUCUAAUUCUACAAAGAAUUGCAACGUACAGAACAAUAUCAGAACUGCCAGAUAAGUGUUCAUUACCGGCUUGUCCAUCGCGACGAGUAGCAAUUCAAUAGUAGGCUAACUUUAUUGACAGUUUUGGCAGCGUUGGCAUUUGUUUUUUGUUUGAUCGACCGUUGAGAUGCACGGGCCGCACGGAUAAACGAAUGUACAAGCAUAGGGGAAGGAGCAUUUCUGUCCCCAACAUCUGAGCUGCCUAAACUGUAAGUUCGUGGAUGAAGACUGCUUCCAUCGAUACUACUGUUGCUGCUAUAGACUGGUCAUCAAUACGAUUCAUCCGAUGGUCUAAUGAGCUGAGACUUAGUCGUAGAUGGUUCUCUUUCACGUUCAUGUCAUCCAAGCGGAGAGACAUAUUUUCAACCCUUUAGAAAUAAAGAAAUAAAUAAAGUUAUGUAUCAAAGAUUUUUAGAAUUUAUAAUGUAAUAUUAAUUAUCUUUUUUUUUCUAAUCCCACCUUUCACUGAUAAACUUGAUCCUCUCUUCUGAUGAAUUCUGAUGUUUUAACUCUUUUUCUCGGUAGAGAUCUUCCAUGCAUUCCUCUUCAAAAUCAUGAAGUUUUUCUGUGUCUUCGUGAGACAAAAACAAUUCUGCCAAACAGACAAAUCACAAUUAAUAAAGGCAAUCCAAGUGAUGAGAAACAUUUAUAAACAACAGAAUACUAUGUGAUGUCAAAACUUUCCAAUUAAUUAAGUUAAAUUAUUAAACUAACUGUAAAUAAUUUCAUAUAUAUAAUAAAUAUGAUGUUAGUGAAGUUUCA